UUUUUGGAGAGUUUGAUUCUGGCUCAGAACGAACGUUGGCGGCGUGGAUAAGGCAUGCAAGUCGAACGAUCCCGAGCAAUCGGGAUAGUGGCAAAAGGGUGA
This 102-nucleotide ribosomal RNA is filed under the name Candidatus Gorgyraea atricola. RNAcentral describes it as "partial 16S ribosomal RNA". It matches the Rfam family "Bacterial small subunit ribosomal RNA", at positions 1 to 109 of the family's 1533-position model. The record is from RNAcentral. Lineage: Bacteria; Pseudomonadati; Candidatus Omnitrophota.